CUGCCACUUUCUUAUGUACUUUGGCCUCAUGUUUAAUUAUUUAGCUCUCCUAAAUUAAAUUAAACAAAACAAUCUUCUGUCUACUUAAAGAGAGACUUAAGGGUGGCAGUUUGAGAUAAAACCAGGUGCCACUGAAUACCAAGAGCCUGAGAAACUGAGGUGGGAAAGCCAAACUGAGCAAUUAUGUCUGACAGAAGGGAAGAAAUGACCAUGGUGGCCUUCCCAGACCCUGUGGGAAAGGCCUUUAUCCAGUGAAAGUGUCUACUCAGACUACGAAGUAUUUUAGUUUCCCGACUCGAGGCAUCUACAGAGAACUCUGAAGACAGCUGGUCAGAUUCUCCACAUGGCAGGUUUUGAGAUAAAGAUUUGCUUAACUGGAUUUUAAUGCACACGGACCAAACGUUGCGGGAGGAAACGUUCAAAUUUGAAGUGUCUUUCAGCACACCCAGAUGUCUAGAAUUACUUAGAAAUAUCUGAUGGGGGCACUGAGGCACAGAUGUGAAGUAACUUGCUGAAGGUCACAUGUUCCAGAUGUUGGAUGCCCUGCUAGUUUCCCCACCUGAUUAUUGAAAUUGAUAUUUGGAGUUGAGGAAAAGAAGGCAAAUCAUCACAUAUCAACCUAUUAUGCACGUUACGCUGUUUGCAUUAUCACAUCUAAUCCAUUUGACACUGCAAAGGAGCAGAUCAAAAUGAUAGAAUUGUAAAGUCAAAAGGAGAAAAAUUGAGGAUUGCCUGGUUUGUAUUAUCAUGAGUUCUCAAAUGUUUAUAAUGGCCAUCUAAGAGUGAAAAGACAAUGGAAACACGUGGUAUAGGUAUGCGCUUGCUUCUAUACAAAGGAAGAAAAUGCAUUAGAGAAGAAGAGACAGAAUACAUGGAUGAAAGGAACGAAGAAGGGGAACUCAGAGCACAGGCAGAGAAAAGGCAUUGGAGGACAGUUUUCCCCACUGAGGAAGGUGGGAAUAAGUUAAAGAUGCAUAAGUUUCUAAAGGCAUGACGGAAGGGGGCAGGGCAUAGUCAAGAAGCCUCUAUGCAGUAGGUGAGAGCUGUGGCAUCCAAGAAUAAUGGAAAGGAUGGUAGGUAGGUGGCUUCUAAAAAAAUGGCAAGGAUCUGUAAAAGCUACUGUAGAGUAGUAAGAUUGGACUGACUUGAGUCUCAGAGAAGGACUGCUGCAUAGCUACACGGCCAAGCUAAGGUUUAAAAGAAUGACUUUCUAUUGUCACUAAUCUGCAUGGGUAUGUUAUCUUUUUUCCCUAGCACUCAGCAAUUCAAGUAUGACAGUGAGAAGGUGAGUGGCUGGAUCGAUCCAAGGUUAUAACUUUUCUGGGCAGAUGCAGUGAACUCAAAAACUGGAUGACAGUUAAGAAUACUGACAAAAGAGUAGUGAGAAAGAUAGGACACAGGGUCUAAGCAAGGAUUUGGACAGCUCAUUCAGGUGAAAAAAUGGGUUUAAAAGUAAGAAAGCUGAAAUGAUCAGGGGCUGUGGUUAGAGAGGUGUUGUGCAGAUUGGAGACUGAGUGGGCUUUCCUUAUGGGCACGAGAGACACAGGGUGAUGUAACACUUCUAGAGAAGGGAUUGUGAGCUAUCCAUGAUGGUGAUGACAUCACUAGUCAUCACCAUCACUUCAGUAGGAGGUCAGUAAACUCCGUCUAUGUCAAGAGUGAAGAAUUCUAGAGCUAUAGUACAAGAGCCAACAGGAGCCUCAAAAUAAGAGAGAAAUACAGAAAUGAUGAUAAGGAACAGGCUGAUUAACUCUGAAGCAUUGAGCAGGUAAUGUCUGAGUUUAGCGUUUAAGGAUCAAUAGGAGUUCUUCAAGCAGAUGAAAAAGGUGAUAGAGGAGAUUUCAGAUAAAGUCAGUAUCACCUGCCAAAGUUUAGAGGCAUUUAAAUUAUUUUCUAGCACAACAUCCUCAGGAGGUAUAAACCAUAAAUACAUGUCCUACUUUCUAUUUUUCCUCUUUUCUUCAGACCAUGACCAUUCUUGAAAUGAACUUUCCCAUAGAAUUAAAAUAAUCCCAUUUCUGGACACUUGAGCAAGUUUGACUUAACUCUUUUCUCAGUUUGCCAGUUGUAUAGUCUGAACAAUCCUGCUACCUGUGGUUCUUAAGGAAAAGAGGUCAUAGGUAAAGUUGCUGCAAAAGUCAUUGCGGUUUUUACCAUUACUUUCAAUGUACAAAAAUUGAUAUCCUAGAAUCCAUGAUUUCUUCAUGGUCCAUUUUCUUUUUGUAUCCUUUUUUGGAAGCAGGGUGAUUUUAGAAAGCGUAUAUAUGGCAUUCAAGGCUAAACAGAGCUGGUGUUGAAUUGUGCUAACAACACCUACAAGCUGUGUAACAUUUGGCAAUUCACUUGGCCUUUCUGAAUUUCCAUUUUUGUGAAAUACAGAUAACAUGUCUAUCUCCUAGAAUUAUGAGAAUGAAAUGCAAUCAUGUCAAUAAGGGAUGGUACAGAAUAGAUGCUCAAUGUUUCCUCUUUGUGGUUCUCUCUGAAUCUCCCUUGCUUCUCCCAACUCUGUUUUCCUAAGCUAAUUUCUUUCAAGCUUAUGGCUGCUGACCUUUUAUUAUUCUUAAUCCAUUGAUCCCUCUAUAUUGUGUAUCUACCCCCUGCCACAGCCUCACAUAAAUGCAUCACAAUUCCCUGAAAGUGUCCUGCUUUCUUAGAACUUGACUUCCAGCAGACUAACUCAGAAAGAUCCAAGACAAAAAGAUGAGGAAAAGGGAAUCUCUUUUAUACUGGAUAGUUUUAAUAAUGGAAUCCUAGAGACAAAGUCAGAAAGUGAUCAUGGGAACAGAAAGCAAAGAGAAAAAAUACAAGAACAUUGAGGAGACACCCUAACAAUAAGACUAAGAGCAGGAGAGUGUCCUCCCAUGCUUUGCUGAAGUUGAGUGAUAACUGGUUAGUUUCCCUGGGCUCUUACUACCUUUCUGAAACUAAAUGUUGUUUGAAUAGGAGGAGCUAAAUUUUUCAUAAAUAAAUCUCUCUGAUGGUUUGUUACAUGUCCUUUAUUUUGUUCUGCAUUAAAGUGUAAUCCAUAUUUUACAGUUUUCCCACUUGCCGACUUAUUUUACAUUUUAUCUCAUAUAGAGGUCUGCAACCAAGGAAAACUGAGAUUCUCCAACCGAUUCUCUAUGUAUACUUUCAGAAUAGAGUAGCACACUGUAUUUAGGUGAAUGACAAUCCCUGGGGUUGUGCAACUAUGCUUGCCCCGAGAAUGACAGACGCUGGGUUUUCAGGGACCCAGGACACUGAAAUCCCUGGAACUGCCAAGCCUCAGUAGUUUCUUCACCUUUUCCUGUUAAUGAUCACACCACUUUAUUCAACUUUCUAUGAAACUAUACAGCAAUGAUAGAAAGAUAAGUUUGCAAUAUAGACAAGACCAUCAAAAAAAGUAAUUUACAAAAAAAGAAGUAUAAAUGGUCAAUGAGCAUAUGAGAGGAUGCCCUGCCUCUCUAGUAGUGAGAGCAACGCCACUUAAAACAGCAGGGAUAAGCCAUUUAGAGUGAUUUGACAUUGAUAGCAUAAAAUAAUAACCAUUGUUGAUGUGAAUAUGAGAGAAGCCUGGAAGAGAUUAUUCCUAUUUUUAUUUUCCAAAUUUAAUAUAUGAUUAUGAUGUGAGUAUGUCUAUUGCAGUAAGGGGCUAAUAGAAAGUUGUCCAGAGAAGUAUAAAGAAGAAAGAAAUCAUCCACAGUCACCUUGCUCAGUGAUAACCACCACUGCCAUUUAUAAUUGAUUUAUUUGAAUCAGGAUCCAGUUGAGAUCUAAUCAUUGCAUUUGGGAUGUCUUUUAAGUCUCUUUUAAUUUAGAACAGAUCU
Molecule: long non-coding RNA, 3806 nt
Organism: Cercocebus atys (sooty mangabey)
Lineage: Eukaryota; Metazoa; Chordata; Mammalia; Primates; Cercopithecidae
Exons: 7
Source: RefSeq, a predicted model, not a curated record